Molecule: ribosomal RNA, 2212 nt
Filed under: Salmonella enterica subsp. enterica serovar Enteritidis
Lineage: Bacteria; Pseudomonadati; Pseudomonadota; Gammaproteobacteria; Enterobacterales; Enterobacteriaceae
Description: partial 23S ribosomal RNA
Rfam family: Bacterial large subunit ribosomal RNA
Source: RNAcentral
AGGUUGGGUAACACUAACUGGAGGACCGAACCGACUAAUGUUGAAAAAUUAGCGGAUGACCUGUGGCUGGGGGUGAAAGGCCAAUCAAACCGGGAGAUAGCUGGUUCUCCCCGAAAGCUAUUUAGGUAGCGCCUCGUGAAUUCAUCUCCGGGGGUAGAGCACUGUUUCGGCUAGGGGGCCAUCCCGGCUUACCAACCCGAUGCAAACUGCGAAUACCGGAGAAUGUUAUCACGGGAGACACACGGCGGGUGCUAACGUCCGUCGUGAAGAGGGAAACAACCCAGACCGCCAGCUAAGGUCCCAAAGUCAUGGUUAAGUGGGAAACGAUGUGGGAAGGCCCAGACAGCCAGGAUGUUGGCUUAGAAGCAGCCAUCAUUUAAAGAAAGCGUAAUAGCUCACUGGUCGAGUCGGCCUGCGCGGAAGAUGUAACGGGGCUAAACCAUGCACCGAAGCUGCGGCAGCGACACUGUGUGUUGUUGGGUAGGGGAGCGUUCUGUAAGCCUGCGAAGGUGGCCUGUGAGGGUUGCUGGAGGUAUCAGAAGUGCGAAUGCUGACAUAAGUAACGAUAAAGCGGGUGAAAAGCCCGCUCGCCGGAAGACCAAGGGUUCCUGUCCAACGUUAAUCGGGGCAGGGUGAGUCGACCCCUAAGGCGAGGCCGAAAGGCGUAGUCGAUGGGAAACGGGUUAAUAUUCCCGUACUUGGUGUUACUGCGAAGGGGGGACGGAGAAGGCUAUGUUGGCCGGGCGACGGUUGUCCCGGUUUAAGCGUGUAGGUGUGUGUUCCAGGUAAAUCCGGUUCACUUUAACACUGAGGCGUGACGACGAGGCACUACGGUGCUGAAGCAACAAAUGCCCUGCUUCCAGGAAAAGCCUCUAAGCAUCAGGUAACAUCAAAUCGUACCCCAAACCGACACAGGUGGUCAGGUAGAGAAUACCAAGGCGCUUGAGAGAACUCGGGUGAAGGAACUAGGCAAAAUGGUGCCGUAACUUCGGGAGAAGGCACGCUGACACGUAGGUGAAGUGAUUUACUCAUGGAGCUGAAGUCAGUCGAAGAUACCAGCUGGCUGCAACUGUUUAUUAAAAACACAGCACUGUGCAAACACGAAAGUGGACGUAUACGGUGUGACGCCUGCCCGGUGCCGGAAGGUUAAUUGAUGGGGUCAGCGCAAGCGAAGCUCCUGAUCGAAGCCCCGGUAAACGGCGGCCGUAACUAUAACGGUCCUAAGGUAGCGAAAUUCCUUGUCGGGUAAGUUCCGACCUGCACGAAUGGCGUAAUGAUGGCCAGGCUGUCUCCACCCGAGACUCAGUGAAAUUGAACUCGCUGUGAAGAUGCAGUGUACCCGCGGCAAGACGGAAAGACCCCGUGAACCUUUACUAUAGCUUGACACUGAACAUUGAGCCUUGAUGUGUAGGAUAGGUGGGAGGCUUUGAAGUGUGGACGCCAGUCUGCAUGGAGCCGACCUUGAAAUACCACCCUUUAAUGUUUGAUGUUCUAACGUGGACCCGUUACCCGGGUUGCGGACAGUGUCUGGUGGGUAGUUUGACUGGGGCGGUCUCCUCCUAAAGAGUAACGGAGGAGCACGAAGGUUGGCUAAUCCUGGUCGGACAUCAGGAGGUUAGUGCAAUGGCAUAAGCCAGCUUGACUGCGAGCGUGACGGCGCGAGCAGGUGCGAAAGCAGGUCAUAGUGAUCCGGUGGUUCUGAAUGGAAGGGCCAUCGCUCAACGGAUAAAAGGUACUCCGGGGAUAACAGGCUGAUACCGCCCAAGAGUUCAUAUCGACGGCGGUGUUUGGCACCUCGAUGUCGGCUCAUCACAUCCUGGGGCUGAAGUAGGUCCCAAGGGUAUGGCUGUUCGCCAUUUAAAGUGGUACGCGAGCUGGGUUUAGAACGUCGUGAGACAGUUCGGUCCCUAUCUGCCGUGGGCGCUGGAGAACUGAGGGGGGCUGCUCCUAGUACGAGAGGACCGGAGUGGACGCAUCACUGGUGUUCGGGUUGUCAUGCCAAUGGCACUGCCCGGUAGCUAAAUGCGGAAGAGAUAAGUGCUGAAAGCAUCUAAGCACGAAACUUGCCCCGAGAUGAGUUCUCCCUGAGACUUAGAGUCUCCUGAAGGAACGUUGAAGACGACGACGUUGAUAGGCCGGGUGUGUAAGCGCAGCGAUGCGUUGAGCUAACCGGUACUAAUGAACCGUGAGGCUUAACCUUACAACGCCGAAG